This 1370-nucleotide ribosomal RNA is filed under the name uncultured bacterium. Its description in RNAcentral is "bacterial SSU rRNA". It matches the Rfam family "Bacterial small subunit ribosomal RNA", at positions 28 to 1381 of the family's 1533-position model. The record is from RNAcentral.
GAUGAACGCUGGCGGCGUGCCUAAUACAUGCAAGUCGAGCGAACGGACGAGAAGCUUGCUUCUCUGAUGUUAGCGGCGGACGGGUGAGUAACACGUGGAUAACCUACCUAUAAGACUGGGAUAACUUCGGGAAACCGGAGCUAAUACCGGAUAAUAUUUUGAACCGCAUGGUUCAAAAGUGAAAGACGGUCUUGCUGUCACUUAUAGAUGGAUCCGCGCUGCAUUAGCUAGUUGGUAAGGUAACGGCUUACCAAGGCAACGAUGCAUAGCCGACCUGAGAGGGUGAUCGGCCACACUGGAACUGAGACACGGCCCAGACUCCUACGGGAGGCAGCAGUAGGGAAUCUUCCGCAAUGGGCGAAAGCCUGACGGAGCAACGCCGCGUGAGUGAUGAAGGUCUUCGGAUCGUAAAACUCUGUUAUUAGGGAAGAACAUAUGUGUAAGUAACUGUGCACAUCUUGACGGUACCUAAUCAGAAAGCCACGGCUAACUACGUGCCAGCAGCCGCGGUAAUACGUAGGUGGCAAGCGUUAUCCGGAAUUAUUGGGCGUAAAGCGCGCGUAGCGGUUUUUUAGUCUGAUGUGAAAGCCCACGGCUCAACCGUGGAGGGUCAUUGGAAACUGGAAAACUUGAGUGCAGAAGAGGAAAGUGGAAUUCCAUGUGUAGCGGUGAAAUGCGCAGAGAUAUGGAGGAACACCAGUGGCGAAGGCGACUUUCUGGUCUGUAACUGACGCUGAUGUGCGAAAGCGUGGGGAUCAAACAGGAUUAGAUACCCUGGUAGUCCACGCCGUAAACGAUGAGUGCUAAGUGUUAGGGGGUUUCCGCCCCUUAGUGCUGCAGCUAACGCAUUAAGCACUCCGCCUGGGGAGUACGACCGCAAGGUUGAAACUCAAAGGAAUUGACGGGGACCCGCACAAGCGGUGGAGCAUGUGGUUUAAUUCGAAGCAACGCGAAGAACCUUACCAAAUCUUGACAUCCUUUGACAACUCUAGAGAUAGAGCCUUCCCCUUCGGGGGACAAAGUGACAGGUGGUGCAUGGUUGUCGUCAGCUCGUGUCGUGAGAUGUUGGGUUAAGUCCCGCAACGAGCGCAACCCUUAAGCUUAGUUGCCAUCAUUAAGUUGGGCACUCUAAGUUGACUGCCGGUGACAAACCGGAGGAAGGUGGGGAUGACGUCAAAUCAUCAUGCCCCUUAUGAUUUGGGCUACACACGUGCUACAAUGGACAAUACAAAGGGCAGCGAAACCGCGAGGUCAAGCAAAUCCCAUAAAGUUGUUCUCAGUUCGGAUUGUAGUCUGCAACUCGACUACAUGAAGCUGGAAUCGCUAGUAAUCGUAGAUCAGCAUGCUACGGUGAAUACGUUCCCGGGUCU